RNAcentral lists this transfer RNA (76 nucleotides) under Rhodobiaceae bacterium. Its description in RNAcentral is "tRNA-His". The stretch from base 9 to 65 matches the Rfam family "tRNA", at positions 10 to 63 of the family's 71-position model. From Rfam's summary of the family: Transfer RNA (tRNA) molecules are approximately 80 nucleotides in length. Their secondary structure includes four short double-helical elements and three loops (D, anti-codon, and T loops). The record is from RNAcentral. Lineage: Bacteria; Pseudomonadati; Pseudomonadota; Alphaproteobacteria; Hyphomicrobiales; Rhodobiaceae.
GACAUUUUGCUAUUUUGGUUAGAGCGCCUGAUUGUGGAUCAGGAGGUCCCUGGUUCGAAUCCAGGCAGUGGUACCA